Triticum aestivum (bread wheat) is the source of this 3483-nucleotide long non-coding RNA. RefSeq lists it as uncharacterized. The record is from RefSeq and is a predicted model, not a curated record. The transcript has 11 exons. Lineage: Eukaryota; Viridiplantae; Streptophyta; Magnoliopsida; Poales; Poaceae.
UACGUCCCCCCUGUCCACUCCAUUUUUUGUUUUAUCUUUCUGUCCGUUAGAUGCAAGCCGGGCUGGCCUCCAUCCGCCCGCUUUCCUACUCGCCUUGCAUGUUUCUGCCACUGCCUGUGGGUCUGGGUACAUGCGUGUUCUUGUUCGUAUGGUGGGCUGGUUGCUUCCUGUGUGGCUAAAAUAAUGAGCAUGCCUUACUGUUCCUCCCUCGCUGCCCCUUUUGUUGCCAAGACGGCCUGGUUAGCCCUCGUCCUCCUUCCACUCUCGCUCUCACUCCCCGCCUCGCUCGCUCGGCCUGCAGCUCUUCGAGCCGUCUCCGUCCACCGCGAACGGUUGUGUUUGGAGUUCUUCGUCAUGGUUGUGCUUCCUUCGCCUCUCGUGUACAAUUGAGGGUCAUACAGCCUGCUGUUUAACGCUCGGCCUGCUGCUCGGGGAGGUUUCCCGACGCCCGGGUGAUUCACUGGCAAGGGAUCUAAACUGACUGAUGUUGAUGCUGAUGCUUCUGCCACUGCACCUGCUGAGACCGUGGACACUACGGUUGCUGAGACAACUAAGCUUUAGAGGGCGGCUGCUGUUGCUGCCAAGAACGUUUUAGCAAAAAAGCUAAAGUAGCGGCUGAUCGACGCUUUGGGAUGAGCGUGCAUGUCUGGCUGUUUUGUAUAUAGAAGGUCUCUGCCUUGGCCCUCGCCGCCUUGGGCUCGCUACUUUGGCGCUGGCUACUAACGCCUCCGCCCGCAAGGACAAGUGAACCAUGAAUCACCGUCGUUGUCUUCAGGCACCUCUCUUUGCACCCUUCUGGACAUGCUACUACGUUGCAUGCGUGUUUGCAAACCCAGUCUUUGACGCUCAUACAGCCAUGUCAAAGUUCAGUUGAUACACUUCCCUAUUUAAGAUGCGAACUAAGCUACUUUCAUGUCUUGUAAAUAUUGCCGUUGGCCUUUCCUGCUUUCCCUUGCCUCCUCAAUGACCAUUUCUAUCCAUUGUAAAUAUUCAUUCAACCAUGCUACCUAAUAUAUGUAUUAUUAGCAGUGUAAUGUUAUUUCUUCUGAAGAUUAUGCAUGUGUGCUAUUCUCAGGGUUUGCUCAAUUAUAGUUAUGGGUUCUUGCCAGUGGUUAUACCGUGCACGCCCUUUGAGCAUCAUCUUCAGCCUCCUAUGCAGCCUAAUUACCAUGUGAAGCUCUAUAUGUAUAGCUUCACCCUAAGCGCAUGAUUUCUUUUGGCAUCAGACAAUCUGCUUAUCAUGUUGAACGCAUUAUAUGAAGCUCUGUGUUCAUAGCUUCAUCUAAGGACCAACUUGCUUUUGGAACUGCUCUCUAAUCACUAUGUAUAUAUUUGGAACCUCUGAUGUUCAUCUUAGACCCAUAUAAUAUCUAUCCGUACCACUUAAUGCAAAUAUUUUCCUAUGUUUAGUUCAUACUAUUUCUACUUCUGUAACUGCACUACAGAAGAAAUACAUUUAUAUUUCUCUGUAUAUAAUCAUCAGCACAUACCCUAUAAGACAUGAAAAUAAAAUCUAUGCUUCAUAAGAUCCAACUUUAACAUUGUUGUUGUAUUUGCCAUCAGAUCAAACAUUACAUUCUUUUCACUUGAAACCAAUUUAACUUCAACACUGAUCUCAGCAUGUUUCAUCUGAUGCCUAAAUAAAAUCUCCUACUCAGCAUGCUUCUUGCGCCAUCGGCGCAACCGGGUCAUCUAGUCUAACUAGUAAACUUGUCUGGCCAACCCGGCCAUACGAGGCCUCUUCGAGCGUGCGGUGAUUCCUGGCCGUUUGAUGCAAUUACUAUUUAUAGAUUUCACUCCCUGUCGGCUGGUAGCCGUUCAAUUUUUUUCACCCUUGCGCUCCUUGUUUCUGUCUAUGACUGUUGGGCUAGCGCGUGUGUGGGGUUCAUCUGCAGUGACAAGGGGACGCUCAGUCCGCGUCGCUCAUCGGGUUGGGGCGUGGCGCUCUCCUGCAGCCCGAUUGGCGCACUGGAGUGUCGCGCGCGUGCGUGCUGACCCAGCCGCGGGGCUGACCAGGUGAAGCGACACAGUCCAGCCGCGGGUGUGACCAGGUGAAGCGACGCGGCAUGGAUUUCCGUUUUGUACUCGCGCUUUCGAUGCCCAGCCGUGUUGGUGGGCUGUGGAGCGGGCCCGACUGGCAGUGGCUUGGGUGUGUGCAGAAAGGUAUGUUUUGCUGUGUUGUACGCUGGGUAAAGCGGUGCGUGUGAGGGAGACGUUGGGUAAAAGGGAGAACUCGUCGGGUUUGUUCUCUUUUUCCUGUGCUUACAUGUGUUGCGUCGCUGCGCAAGGGCCCAGCGGCCCAUGGUCUCCACAUGUCGGCCGGGGAGGUGGUUGAGUGUGUGGUUUACAGCGGCUGGGUCCAUUCCGCUGCUGACGCCGUACGUCCCCCCUGUCCACUCCAUUUUUUGUUUUAUCUUUCUGUCCGUUAGAUGCAAGCCGGGCUGGCCUCCAUCCGCCCGCUUUCCUACUCGCCUUGCAUGUUUCUGCCACUGCCUGUGGGUCUGGGUACAUGCGUGUUCUUGUUCGUAUGGUGGGCUGGUUGCUUCCUGUGUGGCUAAAAUAAUGAGCAUGCCUUACUGUUCCUCCCUCGCUGCCCCUUUUGUUGCCAAGACGGCCUGGUUAGCCCUCGUCCUCCUUCCACUCUCGCUCUCACUCCCCGCCUCGCUCGCUCGGCCUGCAGCUCUUAGAGCCGUCUCCGUCCACCGCGAACGGUUGUGUUUGGAGUUCUUCGUCAUGGCUGUGCUUCCUUCGCCUCUCGCGUACAGUUGAGGGUCAUACAGCCUGCUGUUUAACGCUCGGCCUGCUGCUCGGGGAGGUUUCCCGACGUCCGCGUGAUUCACUGGCAAGGUUAGAUGUGCUUUUGUUGCUAUGCUUCUUGCUGCAUGCUGUAUCAGCUUGUGGGAAAGGAUCUAAACUGACUGAUGUUGAUGCUGAUGCUUCUGCCACCGCACCUGCUAAGACCGUGGACACUGCGGUUGCUGAGACAAGGCGGCUGCUGUUGCUGCCAAGAACGUUUUAGCAAAAAAGCUAAAGUAGCGGCUGAUCGACGCUUUGGGAUGAGCGUGCAUGUCUGGCUGUUUUGUAUAUAGAAGGUCUCUGCCUUGGCCCUCGCCGCCUUGGGCUCGCUACUUUGGCGCUGGCUACUAACGCCUCCGCCCGCAAGGACAAGUGAACCCUGAAUCACCGUCGUUGUCUUCAGGCACCUCUCUUUGCACCCUUCUGGACAUGCUACUACGUUGCAUGCGUGUUUGCAAACCCAGUCUUUGACGCUCAUACAGCCCUGUCAAAGUUCAGUUGAUACACUUCCCUAUUUAAGAUGCGAACUAAGCUACUUUCAUGUCUUGUAAAUAUUGUCGUUGGCCUUUCCUGCUUUCCCUUGCCUCCUCAAUGACCAUUUCUAUCCAUUGUAAAUAUUCGUUCGGCCAUGCUACCUAAUAUAUGUAUUAUUAGCAGUGCAAUGUUAUUUCUUCUGAAGAUUAUGCA